This 445-nucleotide ribosomal RNA is filed under the name uncultured bacterium. Its description in RNAcentral is "partial 16S ribosomal RNA". It matches the Rfam family "Bacterial small subunit ribosomal RNA", at positions 354 to 796 of the family's 1533-position model. The record is from RNAcentral.
GUAGGGAAUAUUGGGCAAUGGAUGCAAGUCUGACCCAGCCAUCCCGCGUGCCGGAAGAAGGCCCUCAGGGUUGUAAACGGCUUUUGACGGUGAAGAACCGACAGGAUGCGUCCUGUUUUGCCGGUAGCCGUUGAAUAAGCACCGGCUAACUCCGUGCCAGCAGCCGCGGUAAUACGGAGGGUGCGAGCGUUGUCCGGAUUUAUUGGGUUUAAAGGGUGCGUAGGCUGGAAGGUCAGUCAGCGGUGAAAAGCUAUCGCUUAACGAUAGUCUUGCCGCAGAGACUUCCUUUCUUGGAUGAGGAGGAGGCCACUGGAACGGAUGGUGUAGCGGUGAAAUGCAUAGAUAUCAUCCAGAACACCGAUUGCGAAGGCAGGUGGCUGUACCUUAAUCGACGCUGAUGCACGAAAGCAUGGGGAGCAAACAGGAUUAGAAACCCUUGUAGUCC